Molecule: ribosomal RNA, 998 nt
Filed under: Pseudoalteromonas sp.
Lineage: Bacteria; Pseudomonadati; Pseudomonadota; Gammaproteobacteria; Alteromonadales; Pseudoalteromonadaceae
Description: bacterial SSU rRNA
Rfam family: Bacterial small subunit ribosomal RNA
Source: RNAcentral
AUGCAGCCAUGCCGCGUGUGUGAAGAAGGCCUUCGGGUUGUAAAGCACUUUCAGUCAGGAGGAAAGGUUAGUAGUUAAUACCUGCUAGCUGUGACGUUACUGACAGAAGAAGCACCGGCUAACUCCGUGCCAGCAGCCGCGGUAAUACGGAGGGUGCGAGCGUUAAUCGGAAUUACUGGGCGUAAAGCGUACGCAGGCGGUUUGUUAAGCGAGAUGUGAAAGCCCCGGGCUCAACCUGGGAACUGCAUUUCGAACUGGCAAACUAGAGUGUGAUAGAGGGUGGUAGAAUUUCAGGUGUAGCGGUGAAAUGCGUAGAGAUCUGAAGGAAUACCGAUGGCGAAGGCAGCCACCUGGGUCAACACUGACGCUCAUGUACGAAAGCGUGGGGAGCAAACGGGAUUAGAUACCCCGGUAGUCCACGCCGUAUACGAUGUCGACUAGAAGCUCGGAGCCUCGGUUCUGUUUUUCAAAGCUGACGCAUUAGGUAGACCGCCUGGGGAGUACGGCCGCAAGGUUAAAACUCAUAGGAAUUGACGGGGGCCCGCACAAGCGGUGGAGCAUGUGGUUUAAUUCGAUGCAACGCGAAGAACCUUAGCUACACUUGACAUACAGAGAACUUACCAGAGAUGGUUUGGUGCCUUCGGGAACUCUGAUACAGGUGCUGCAUGGCUGUCGUCAGCUCGUGUUGUGAGAUGUUGGGUUAAAUCCCGCAACGAGAGCAACGUCGAUGCUUACUUGCUAGCACGUAAUGCUGAUAACUCUGAAGAGACUGCCUGUGAUAGACCGGAUGAAGGUGGGGACGACGUCAGUCAUCAUGGCCCUUACUGUGUAGGGCUACGCACAUGCUAGAAUGUGUGCAUACUGAGUGCAUGCGAACUCGCGAGAAGUAAUCGAAUCACUUUAAAGUGCGUCGUACUCUGGAUUGCACUCUGCAACUCGACUUCCAUGGACAUCGGAUCGCUAGUAAUCGCGUAUCAAAUGACGUCGCUGAAUACAUG